UUUAUAUUUCAGUCGCUCAACUUUGAAUUAAAACCUGAAGACCUGAAGCUGCUAAUGGAUCUUAACAGGGACUACCGAGUAUGCGUAAUGGAAUGGACUUCUGAUCACAAAGAUCAUCCAUUUCCACUUGUGUCAUAGGUCAGAGUGAUGCAAGGGACUGUUUGAAAAACAUAGUGUUGACAAGAAUCCAUUGAUGCUGGUUUAAAAACAGGGGAUUCAAAUCUACUGGUGUUUUAUAUAUAAAGAUAAUAAUAGUAGACAAUUACCAAUAGGUCUCCUGAGUAAGGGUUAUUGAAGGAGGCUGUUCUAUACAAUCAAUUAAUUUGUCAGUCAAUCAAUAAAAUCAGUCAAUCAAUCAAUCAGACAAUCAAUCAAUCAAUCAAUCAAUCAGACUAUCAAUCAAUCAGACUAUCAAUUAAUCAGUCAAUUAAUCAGUCAGUCAGUAAAUCAGUGAGCUCUGAAGUAGAAACCUAUUUUUGUUUACCAAUGCCGUCAGUGGUGGGGAUGGAAUUACCAUGGCAACUAUAGUGGCAGAAUACAAGGUGGUAAUAAGCAGGCAAAUCCUAUUAAUAUGUGUAAUUUAUCAGAAAAAUUAUACUGUUUGACAUCAGUACAAUAAUGCAUAGGGAGUAAUUCAGGCUAUAUGUAAUUUAAUGGUUAAAUUAGACCAAUAAAGUAAGCCCAUAACAGAUUUUGUAGUUUUUUUUUUUUUUUUUAAUCAAACAAAGUGAACAUAUUUUUGUUAAUACAGUAAAUUAUGAACUGCUGCAUAUUAUGAUUAAAACAUCAUUACUGUAACGAAA
Molecule: long non-coding RNA, 803 nt
Organism: Anneissia japonica
Lineage: Eukaryota; Metazoa; Echinodermata; Crinoidea; Comatulida; Comatulidae
Exons: 2
Source: RefSeq, a predicted model, not a curated record